Unclassified non-coding RNA from Stylophora pistillata, 1826 nucleotides. NCBI's taxonomy places the organism in Eukaryota, Metazoa, Cnidaria, Anthozoa, Scleractinia, Pocilloporidae. The record is from RefSeq and is a predicted model, not a curated record.
AGCAAAAUCAACAAAGAAAGACGGCAUGUUUCAAUCCCUUGGCAACCGAGGUUGACAUGAUCUAAAAAAGACGAGCACGUUUAAAGUUGCCUGUUUGAGCAAACUUUACGUACGUGCAUUUGGUUCACUCUGGAUAAAGGCAACAAAUGAAGCGUCGAUCGAAAAGAUAGGGAAGGAUUAUCGAUACGAACAACGAAAGUCACUGUUGAAAACCGGGCGGCAUCGAGAAGACAGGAGCAAGGAAAAUGGACAAUCACUCAAAUCCAAGUUUUGUUCGCCCCCCUCCCCUAAUUGAUAAUGAAGCCAAAAGAGAGGCAGUAAUCGCAUGGUGCACCUUCUAUGUCCAAAUUGCUUUCCUAGCAGUCUUUGGAAAUGGACUAGUCGUGGCUUCCUUCAUUCGGUACUCGCGACUACGUACGAUAACAAACUAUUUCGUGGUCAGUCUUGCUGUGGCAGAUAUCUUGGUGGGCUUCGUCUCCAUCCCCAUAUGGAUCUCAAUGCUGCUUUAUUCUACCGGCGGUAAAACGUUAGGGAACAUUUACUAUGUCCUUGACAUCUUUGCAGGUACCUGCUCCAUACUGCAUCUCGUGACCAUCAGCUCAGAACGCUUUUUUGCUGUGGUUUAUCCAAUUCGUCGCCGCAACACCUCACCCAAAGUAUAUUAUAUCUUUCUGGCGGCUGUAUGGAUUAUUCCAGCUGCAGCAUCUCUAUCUGCAUUGGAGCUGAAGGAAAUCAACCAAAAAGCAAAUAUGAUGUUCCUUUUCAUGGGUUUCUUCGUUAUUCCUUUGUUGGUCAUUCUGUUCACUUACGCAAAGAUUUGGCGCGCAGCCAGGAAUCGUAUACAGCCUACUCGGGACAGUCCACGGUCGAUGAAACGUGACAUGCGCAUUGCAGUUACCAUUGCGUUAGUGAUUGGCUUUUUCGUCAUCGCUUGGUUACCUUUCUUUACAGUUCAGUUACUAAUAGUGUUCUGCGAAUCAUGUAAACCCAGAAUUUACAGCCCCGACCUACUUUUGUUUGUAAAGUUUAUGCACUACAGCAAUUCGGCGAUCAAUCCUAUUGUCUACGCUGUAAAGAUCCCAGAGUUCCGUCGAGCCUUCAAACAGAUAGUUUGCUGCUGUCAUAGCAGAUCCCCAUCCGUCACCGAAAUUGUAUCAGGAACAGACAUGCGUGUCGCUUCACACACCUCUCGUGAGAGGGCUUUGUCUCAUUAAAAAAAUAAACACACAAAGAUUCCCUAUGAUCAAUCCGAGCUUGUGGUCGGCCGGCAUAUAAUUCAGAUAUCUUCAAAGAUUGAGAAAGACAGCAAUGAAUAUUUGAACUAUGUCAGUUCACCUUUAUUUUACGAUAAAACCAAGGCUCUAAGUGAGCCCGCCACAUGGAUGCAUUUCUGCUCGUUGAGAAUUGCUAGAAUUCUAUCGGAUAAUGAUUAAGAUAUGACUGGCUGAUGAGCGGGUGAAAUUGUUGGAACAUCACUCGAUCAGGUGUCUCCACAUAUUCGAUAAAGCGAAACAUCACUUGCUGAGCAUCUGGUCUCUGAGCAUUUGGCUUUCGGACAUCGGGACUACUACAAAUGGUGAACUUUACGCUAUUUCACGCUUACUUCGCGGAUAGGUAUAUUAUGCAUAUGAAAUAUUCUAUUGUGAAAGGCAUAUGAAAAGCAGCAGAAGGAUAUUUACAGAAUGUUAUCACUUUCACAUGGUGUUUUCACAUGCUGUUCACUUUUCGGUUCUGGAAGCCUGCAUGCGAAAAGCUUGCAAUAACGCCACAGGAGGCCCACACAAGCGGCGUGUCUGGUCGUUUGUUCGAAAUAUAAAGAAAUGUAU